This is a long non-coding RNA of Onychostoma macrolepis, 5921 nucleotides long. RefSeq lists it as uncharacterized. Lineage: Eukaryota; Metazoa; Chordata; Actinopteri; Cypriniformes; Cyprinidae. The transcript has 3 exons. The record is from RefSeq and is a predicted model, not a curated record.
GUCAUAUUCUGGUCAAUAAACUUGAAUAUCACUCAAUAAGUGCCAUAAUUAAUGUGGAUAUAACUUUAACAUUAGAACUUUAGAACCUGAUGCAUCAAAUAGUCAUUAUUAUACUAUUUUAGCUGAAAAAACUGCUUUCUACUCGUCUAACUCAGGUUCGGAUUCAUUGAAUAGCUACAGGAUGUCCGGUCAGAACAUUAGGUCUCACACCAGGAAUGUACUUCAGGGUGAUUUAUUGUGCAAAGAUGGGUGUGGUUCUGUAAAUAUAAAACAGUACACAAAUAUAAAUAAAUGAAUAAAUAUACAUUAACAGAUCUUUACAGCAGUACUUAAAUACUCAUAAGUAACAGCAUUGUAAAUGAUAUAUUAUUGAACUUAACAUGAAGUAAACAAUAUAAAUGUAAUAUAGAUACAAAUACAAAUCGAAGUUCUUUAAAAUGAUUGCACUACUGCAGUGUGUGUCUAGCUCACGUGACUCGAACAUGUUCCCUGAGAUGCGUUGAGUCUAUGCAUCAGGGCCGUAACCACAAUAGACAUUGAGGGGGACAAGUCCCCCCCCAAUAAUCAGAUAUGGCCAAAAUGUCCCCCCCAAUAUUUAAUAUUCCUUUAGUUCCUCUGCUGCACUGUGUUAUGAACUGCUAACGUAUGAUGUUACGAUUAAAAAGUUGUUAUUAUUUAUUUAUUUUUAGCGUGGUCUGCCUCAGCGCGCUCGUCAAUGUCAAUAUGUUAGCCAAUCAAAUCAAAGGCGGCGGGCUUUACAAUUCGCAGAGCGCAUCGGUUUGACGGCUUCAGUUUUCAGCAAGUGUGAGGUAAGAUUAUGCUAAGCAGCUAACCUUUAAUAUUUGACAAACAUUUCACAGAAGCCUUUCAAAAUCGACAGUAAUAUACAGGGAUGCAAACAUUUGCGUACAUUGUAAUGCGAUAUGCGAUGUGAGGCAAACACUAACUGGUGCGUUUUCAGCAAAUUAAGCCUCAGAUAGGCUAAUUAUUAGCUUAUAUAAUUCACACGAUUGAAUAUACUGUAUAUAUUGUGAAUUUAAUAAUGAACGUGGGACAUUUAUCAUCCUUAGACUUGGAACAUGAUAAAACGUGUGGAUUUGACUCAAGUGUGAUUUUUAAUUUGUGAAUGACGUCAAAUAUUUAAAAAAAGAAAGAACCUAUUUGCAACAUUUUCUCUGUUUUUUUUUAACAAUAAACCUCCCAGUAUCUACCAUUUCAUUUUUAUAUAUCCAUAUCAGGUCUGUUCUGAAAUUUAAAGGGAUGGUUCUCCUAAAAAUGAAAAUUUUUUAUCAUUGAAUUACCCUUCUGCCAUUCCAAAAACAAUUGCUGUUUCUUUUCAUUAAAAAAAUAAAUAAAAAUCAGCUCCAUUCCAGGUCUAUUCGAUAAAAUAGUGAAAUACAUUAAAGCAUUACAAAGGUGUACUAAAAGCACUAUAUACUCCAAGUAGCCAGAGGUUUGUGUAAUAUGCCUGAUUUUAUUGCACAGCUGUGUAAAUAUUCUUCAGAAUAGGCCUACUCAUUUUGUUUUUAUAAAUCCUAACAUACAGGUUUGGAAUGACUUGAGGGGGAGUAAUUUGUCUUGUCUGUUGUCUUGCUGGCUAACACAGUCAUGUCAUUUUACAGAGACAUCAAUAAUGAAAAGACAAUCGAGUGAUAUUCGUUUUUUCUUUGGGACAGCACAAAAAAUAAGGGUGAGCUGACAGGAACAGGAAAUUAGCGCUAUAUAUAUAUAUAUAUAUAUAUAUAUAUAUAUAUACACAGUGUAAUUUUUUUAAUUCACAUUUGGUCUGCUCUACUAUUGUAAGUGCAAGAGAGGGAAAGGCAAGGCAGGAAGACUUUAGGGCAGAACAAGAUGAUUUUGAGGUAGGUGAAAGCAUAGAUUUCCCAAAGGAAUCUGAGAAGUUUAAUGUUGAAACUCAUGUUGGUCUCUUUGUAUUCAUAUAUUAAAAGUAUAAUAUACUUUCAGAGUAAGUCGAGAAAUACAGUGAAAGAAAAAGACCAGGACAGUGGUGACAGUUCAAGACCAGGUGAUGAGGUGAGUUGAGCUACAUAUGAAAGCAAAAACUGAGCUGAAAACUGACAGUGCCAGAAACUGAAAAUACUGUCCAGAAUGCUAAUGCUUGAGAAAUAUACCAUCAGCUUAUCUAAAGUACUGCCCUAAGCCAAGAAAAAAAAAAAAGCUAUUGUUUUGCAUUCUGUUUGUUUCACUCUAUUGUUUAAUUACCAUUUACUCUAAAUGCACUGCUGAAUGCAAAGGUAAAUCAUGAGGGAAAAUACUGCACAAGUCCAUCCAGACAAAUCAUAAAGCUUUUUUUUUCUUCUGGUAAUCUCAUUUGCUCUGGUUGAUUCGGAAAAAAGAGAGUGAGAAAGAGGGAGGGCAAGACGACGCUAACACGGCAGAAGGAGGUGACAUUCAGGGACAAGAAAGAGAGAAAGAGGGAGUACAGGAAGAUCACAGUACAGGGAAUGGCGACAAUAAGGUCCCUGAGAUGGAGAUAGAGGAUAGACAGAUAGGAGAAAAUACAAGAGAGAGAGAAGAGCUUGGACCUUGUCCUAGUCAUCCAAAUGUCAAGUUUAUGCCUACUCAGACUCUUUCAAACAAGACACUUCACUUUCAGGAGAAAUGGUUUAGAGAAUAUUCUUGGCUUCAUUACUGUCCUUCAUUAAAGGGUGUCCUUUGUUUUUACUGCGCAAAGUAUUUUGCAAAUUCCAAGUCAAAGCUUGCUUCAAAAAUGGAUUCAGCUUUUAUUUCAAAUGGCUUUCGAAACUGGAAAAAGGCAGUAGAGAAAUUUGAUGCUCAUAAAGACAGUCAGUGUCACAAAGUAGCUCUUAUGACUAGGAUUCAGGAGACACAUCCUGUUGAUAUGUAACUUUCACGUGAGUGUGAAAAACAACAAGAAAGAGCAAGACAAAAUCUAAUGAAAAUAUUCAAAGGUGCAAAGUACUUGGCACGACAAGGGCUGCCAUUUAGAGGAGCUGACAGUCAAAGUGGAAAUUUUAGCCAGCUCCUGCAAUACAAAGCAGAAGACGAUGCUGAGCUGUCAACUUGGUUGAAAGGACAUGUGGACUUUACAAGUCCAAAAAUUCAAAAUGAGAUAUUAAUGUGCAUGGACAAUUCCAUUGUUAGAGAAAUAGUCUCUGAAAUAAAUUCUUUGCCAGUUGUACAGUUUUCAUUGAUCAUUGAUGGGACCCAGGACUCUGCAGGAGUUGAACAAGAAUCCAUCUGCCUUCGAUAUGUGGAUUCUGAUCUUCAGCCAAGAGAGGAGUUUAUUGGACUUUACGAGAUGUCAACAACAACAGGAAAGGCUUUAGCAAAUAUGGCAUGUGAUGUCAUGAUCCGGCUAAAUCUUCCUCUGUCUCAACUCAGAGGACAAACAUAUGAUGGAGCUUCCAACAUGGCUGGUCAUAUGCAAGGUGUUCAAGCUCUUUUAAAAAAGGAGCAGCCAUUGGCUUUGUACUGUCACUGUGCUACACACUGUGCUAAUUUGAUUACACAGUGAUUAGAGACACACUAGGUUUAGUCCACGAAUUAGGCUCCUUCUUCAACCAAUCUGUGAAAUUCAAGGCAAUUUUUAAGGACAUAGCAAAAUCACAGCAUUCUUUUAUUUCUUUAAAGCCUCUUUGCCCCACCAGGUGGACUGUUCGGACAUCUGCUCUUCAUGCAAUUCUCAAACAGUAUGAAUCUGUGUUGACUGCUUUGGAGGAAAUGGCGUCCUGUGGCACAAACGAUACAUCAAUUAAGGCCAAUGGGUUUCAUGAAAAAUUCCUUAAGGGAAACACUGUGCUUGGCCUUGUAAUGGCAGAGGACAUAAUUGGCGAGUUGGAGUGCUUAAACACCAGCCUGCAGCUCAAACAGCAGACAGUAUCAGGGACGUUGGAGGCUGUAGCAUGUUAAGAAAAGCAUGCAAGAGAAGAGAACUGAUGAACACUUCCAACAACUGUUCACCAAAGCUGGAUCUACAACCGAUUCAGAUGCCUCACAUCCGAAAACAAGCCAAACGAUACAGCAGUCAGACUGCACCUGAUGUAAAUCCUAAUGAUCCUAAUGUCCAGUCCUACUUCAGGCCCCAGUAUUACAGCUGCUUGGACAUGGUGAACACCCAGAUGACUCAAAGGUUUGACCAAGAUGGCAUCCAAAAACUGCAAAAGCUUGAGAAUGUGCUACUGAAUACUGAAUUGGACAAAGUAGUGGAUGAGUAUCCUGAAUUAAAUUCAAGACAAUUGCAGGUGCAGCUUAACAUGUUUGAAGCUAUGUACACUUUCCAAACUACAGCAGACGUUGCAGAAAUCAUUCGAAACAUGGUUCCUGAAGUGAGAGGCCUUUUCAGUCAAGUUGAGACUUUGGUAAGGCUGUUGCUGGUUGUCCCUGCCUCCUCAUCAGAAGCCGAGAGGAGUUUUAGUGCCCUGAGGAGGAGGCUCAAAACCUGGUUAAGGUCAUCAAUGAGUCAGACAAGGCUCAAUAAUGUGGCUAUUUGCCAUGUACACCAGGAACGACUGGACAAAUUAGAACUUCAAAAAGUAUGCCAGUCCUUCAUUCAAGUAAAUGAAAAGCACAAGAAGAUAUUUGGAUCCUUCAUUUAAAAUUUAGUGAAGACGACAUGAAUUGUUAUGUAACAUUGUAAAUAAUUGUAUUCAUCUGGAGGUCUUUGUAAUGAAGUGAGAUGGUUUUAGAAUGUAUGGAGUUGUUUUUUGUUUGAUUUGUUUUUUUCAUUUUAAAUUUAUUGAAUAUUUGUUUUUAUACUUUGGGACACUAGUCUAUCUUUCUAAAAACAAUUUUAUUGUGAUGUGUAUAUAUAGGACAGUUUUUAGCUAAAAAGAUGAUUUUAUAAACCAUCAAAAUCUGUGAUAUGCCCACUGACCGUACUGUAAUUUUGGGGUAAAAAUAUUGAAAGAUCUUGUGUUUUGUGUGUGUAGAUAGAUAGACAUAUAGACAGAUCGUUGGGUUUUGGUCCCCCCCCCCAAAGUUCAAGGUGUGGUUAUGGCCUUGCUAUAUGCAUUAUAGCUUAAUAUGCAAUAUAACAUUAACUACUCUAACAGACAAAUAACACAGGAGAAUUAUAACGUUUGUAACAGAAUAAUGUGCAAAUAUAAUUAACAAUGUAAACAUUUAGGCGGAAUGCCGCUGUAGCGGUCAUUAAUCUCUCUCGUGAAUUUAUCAUCCGAUAAAUUAUGUAAAUGUAUUUACGAUUAGUUGUACGCACACACAUAUUCACACAAUCCUUAAACGGGGCACUUCUAACUAAUUUAUCUUGAACUAUUGACUAUAAACAUCUACACAUCUAGCCUCAACACGGUCUCGUUUUUUUACUCAACUGAAAGUUUUUGGAACAGUCCAACUCACGAACACAGGCGGGAGGGUUUGGAGGAGUUCACUUUCGAGGGGUGGCCUUUCUUACAUUAGCCAUAUAUAAUUGCAAACCAGCAGUAAUUAAACAUAAUUACUAGUUUAUUGUUCAUAUACCGUCCUAAUGCACGGUGAGGAGGAGAGUUUGAGUGGCCAAAGACAUGCCCACGGUUAAAUAUACUGCUGGAUCUUUAAUGCUGUGGGCCUAUUUUUCAGCCGGAGGUCCUGGACCUGAUACAUGGCAUUAUGGAUUCUGUCCAAUACCAACAGAUAAAAAAUCUAAACCUGACUGCCUCUUUUAGAAAUCAUAAAAAAACAUCAAAAUCAAUACACAAGUGUGUCACUGAGCACAAAAUGAAGCUUCUGCCAUGGCCAUCCCCUGACCUGAACCCUGCAGAAAAUGAGUGGGGUGAACUGAACUGGGAAAAAGGACGUUGCAAUAAUUGGGUGCCAAUAAUUUUGACCAAUAUGAACUAGAGAAAAACAUUUUAAAAUUUUCUAACUAUUGGAGCCGAUAGCCUAUAAUUGGUUCAAGAUGUAGUUUGGUUUUGCAUCAGGAGACGAGAGUUCGAGCCCCA